AGUGGAUGGGGAGCAACCUAGUUGUGCGUGUGUAAAGGUAGUGCCAAGAAAAGCGAUGAUCAUGUUGAAAAUCAAUUCCCGGUACCCGAAACCGACACAGGUGGGCAAGUAGAGAAUACUAAGGGGCGCGAGGUAACUCUCUCCAAGGAACUCGGCAAAAUGACCCCGUAACUUAGGGAGAAGGGGUGCCACCGAGAGGUGGUCGCAGUGAAGAGGCCCAGGCGACUGUUUAGCAAAAACAUAGGUCUCUGCAAACUCGAAAGAGGAGGUAUAGGGGCUGACGCCUGCCCAGUGCCGGAAGGUUAAAGAAGUUGGUCAGUUUUAGGAUGAAGCUAGCGACUGAAGCCCCGGUGAACGGCGGCCGUAGCUAUAACGGUCCUAAGGUAGCGAAAUUCCUUGUCGGGUAAGUUCCGACCCGCACGAAAGGCGUAACGAUCUGGGCGCUGUCUCGGAGAGAGGCUCGGCGAAAUAGGAUUGUCUGUGAAGAUACGGACUACCUGCAUUUGGACAGAAAGACCCUAUGAAGCUUUACUAUAGCUUGGAAUUGUGUUCGGGCUUCCUGUGCGCAGGAUAGGUGGGAGGCGUAGAAGGUAUUCUUGUGGGGAUACUGGAGCCAACGGUGAGAUACCACUCUCAGGAGGCUAGAAUUCUAACUUAAUUAAGGACAGUUUCAGGUGGGUAGUUUGACUGGGGCGGUCGCCUCCAAAAAGGUAACGGAGGCGUACAAAGGUUCCCUCAGACUGGUUGGAAAUCAGUCGAAGAGUGCAAAGGCAGAAGGGAGCUUGACUGCGAGAAGUACAGUUCGAGCAGGGUGGAAACACGGUCUUAGUGAUCCGACGGUCUGUGUGGAAGGGCCGUCGCUCAACGGAUAAAAGUUACUCUAGGAUAACAGGCUGAUCUCCCCCAAGAGUUCACAUCGACGGGGAGGUUUGGCACCUCGAUGUCGGCUCAUCGCAACCUGGGGCGGAAGUACGUCCCAAGGGUUGGGCUGUUCGCCCAUUAAAGCGGUACGUGAGCUGGGUUCAGAACGUCGUGAGACAGUUCGGUCCAUAUCCGAUGUAGGCGUGAGAAUAUUGAGAGGAGCCUUCCUUAGUACGAGAGGACCGGGAAGGACGCACCGCUGGUGUACCUGUUAUGAUGCCAAUUGUAAACGCAGGGUAGCCAAGUGCGGAGAGGAUAACCGCUGAAAGCAUCUAAGUGGGAAGCCCACCUCAAGAUGAGUAUUCUGGUGUAAGGUCACGGGAAGACGACCCGUAAAUAGGCACGAGGUGGAAGUGCAGAGAUGUAUGAAGCCGAAGUGUACUAAUAGACCGUCGGCUU
This 1320-nucleotide ribosomal RNA is filed under the name metagenome. Its description in RNAcentral is "bacterial LSU rRNA". It matches the Rfam family "Bacterial large subunit ribosomal RNA", at positions 1561 to 2925 of the family's 2925-position model. The record is from RNAcentral.